ACUUAACACCUCCUUCCUUGCCCGGAGGCCAGAGCUCAAGCCCAUCCCCUGUGCCUACACAGCAGGUAGCUCUGUGGCCUCUACUUCCUCUUCACAGCCAUCCCUAACUUGUUUGCUGCGCCCCAGACCAUUCAGUCUUGUCUUCACCCUUUAGAAUUUCUCUGGUUCCUGACAUACACAAGGGAUUGGUCAGAGGAAUGCACCAGAAGAAAUCCUACCACACAGAAGUUUUCUGUAAAAAAAAAUGAGAUGGUGGAAUUUGAAUACAGAAGUAACUGAUCUGUUCUGAACUUAUAAUGAUGAAAUAAUGGAACAGGAAAGAGGAUUCUGACUCCGGUGUUGAGGAAUGAGGCCCAGGAUCUGAAUUUUAGAAAUAAUAUUUUUGCUUCAUUCAAACAACGGAGGACCUUGAAUAGUUUUGUCAGUUUGGUCACAAUGUUUGAAAGUCCUUGAAAGGAGAGAAAUGCUGUGAAAAACAGGCCCAGCAUUUGGAGGAUGUGACUCUUAACUCCGACUCUUGUCAGCCACGAGACUUUGAAGAAAGGAAAAAUGCAUCGGUCUAUUCUUAGUGUAACAAGAUGCUUUACCAGAAGGUUGCCCUGGAGGAUCUCAUGGAAAAUACUAACAUUACCUUCAGCCAUGUCUCCUUACACCCCUCUUGGCUGUGACUGUUUCUCAGACCUUGCUUGCUUUUGAAGGCCUUGACAGUUUGAGCACUACGAGUCAGCACCAUGCAAGGGUUCUCAAAGUGUUGUCCUUGAACCAGCAGCAGCAGCUGCAUCACCUAGGGACAGAUCUCUCUGGUUCCAGUUUCUCUUCUGUUUUCAAAGUGAUAUGCUGAAGAGGAAGGCACAUUAUCGGGAAGGUAGAUAAAUGGUGAGAUGGAAAGAGAGAUGGUGAAGUCCAGCCUUGCACUUUGAUUCUGCUGACUACCCUCUGCAUGGCUUUUGGCAAAAAUGUUAACAAAUGAGCAUCAUCAAUUUUCUCAGCUGUAAAUUGGGGGUCUCCCCUACCUCUCACUGGAUUGUCUUGAGACUCAAAGAGUAUAAUGAAGGGGGGUUCUUAGUUACUGGCCUCCAGAUCACUCUUGUUUCAGUAUAAAACUGAAAACAAAAAACACACGUUUUA
RNAcentral lists this long non-coding RNA (1128 nucleotides) under Equus asinus (donkey). RNAcentral's name for it is "lncRNA (ENSEASG00005033914.1)". Lineage: Eukaryota; Metazoa; Chordata; Mammalia; Perissodactyla; Equidae. The record is from RNAcentral.